UUGUUUUUGUUUUUGUUUUACGACAUUCAUACACUGUAGUUUGUAAUAGAUCCGGCCGGAGCACGGAACGGUUCACAGAUGUGUGUGGAUAGGUAUAAGCCCGUGAGGGCAAAUCACUAAUGAUCCUUCCGCAGGUUCACCUACGGAAA
Molecule: unclassified non-coding RNA, 149 nt
Filed under: uncultured fungus
Lineage: Eukaryota; Fungi
Description: sequence contains ITS1
Source: RNAcentral